RNAcentral lists this ribosomal RNA (281 nucleotides) under uncultured bacterium. RNAcentral describes it as "partial 16S ribosomal RNA". It matches the Rfam family "Bacterial small subunit ribosomal RNA", at positions 335 to 633 of the family's 1533-position model. The record is from RNAcentral.
CUCCCUACGGGAGGCAGCAGUGGGGAAUAUUGGACAAUGGGGGAAACCCUUAUCCAGCGACACCGCGUGAGGGAAGAAGGGUUUCGGAUUGUAAACCUCUGUCAGUGGGGACAAUAAUGACGGUACCCACGGAGGAAGCCACGGCUAACUACGUGCCAGCAGCCGCGGUAAUAGGUAGGUGGCAAGCGUUGUCCGGAAUUACUGGGGGGAAAGGGAGCGUAGGCGGGAUGUCAAGUCAGAAGUGAGAAUUAUGGGCUCAACUCAUAACCUGCUUUUGAAAC